UUUUUUUAUUUGCAAGGAAAGAACCAAACAAUUCCAAUCACGAGGCAAUAAAUUCUGAGCUUUCAAUUAAGAAACCUCAACAAUAUAAUUAAAAAGAAGAAGAAACGGAAAAUAUUAAUAAUCUGUUCCUUUAACGAAAAAAAAAAAUUUCGAUAUAACAAUGAUUGUCCAAUAGGGGAAAAACUUGUUCACUCACAAAUUACUAAGAAUGAAAAAAAAUCAAAUUGACCUUUUCGCAAUCAGAAAAAAAAACACAAACAAAUAGAUGUGAUAAUGAAUAGAUAGAAAUUAGGAUGGAAAAAGGCACGCACUAUUAAAGAU
Molecule: non-coding RNA, 321 nt
Organism: Schizosaccharomyces pombe (fission yeast)
Lineage: Eukaryota; Fungi; Ascomycota; Schizosaccharomycetes; Schizosaccharomycetales; Schizosaccharomycetaceae
Source: the annotation of a GenBank genome assembly